GAUUGUAGUCUGCAACUCGACUACAUGAAGCUGGAAUCGCUAGUAAUCGCAGAUCAGAAUGCUGCGGUGAAUACGUUCCCGGGUCUUGUACACACCGCCCGUCACACCAUGGGAGUCGGAAAUGCCCGAAGCCGGUGACCCAACCAAAAGGAGGGAGCCGUCGAAGGCAGGUCUGAUAACUGGGGUGAAGUCGUAACAAGGUAAC
RNAcentral lists this ribosomal RNA (205 nucleotides) under uncultured bacterium. RNAcentral's name for it is "partial 16S ribosomal RNA". It matches the Rfam family "Bacterial small subunit ribosomal RNA", at positions 1296 to 1500 of the family's 1533-position model. The record is from RNAcentral.